Molecule: ribosomal RNA, 309 nt
Filed under: Triticum aestivum (bread wheat)
Lineage: Eukaryota; Viridiplantae; Streptophyta; Magnoliopsida; Poales; Poaceae
Description: partial small subunit ribosomal RNA
Source: RNAcentral
AUGGACGCGGUGGAGUCCUCCUCGCCCUACUCACCGCCCUCGCUGCGCCACAAGCUGCGGACCACCGUCUGCGGAUGCUUCGGCUCCCCGUCGUCCCCGGGCAGCGGCGGCAGGGCCAGGUGGAGGCGGCGAGUCGCGGCCGCGGGGGAUUUCCGGUACGACCCGCUCAGCUACGCGCUCAACUUCGACGACGGCGGCGGCGACGACGGCGACGCCGACGCGGAGGACGCCGCCUUCCGGCACAGAAACUUCAGCUCCCGCCUGCCGCCCUCGCCGGUGCCGGCCUCCCGAGCCGUCGCAAUAGCCUGA